Molecule: small RNA, 28 nt
Filed under: Bombyx mori (domestic silkworm)
Lineage: Eukaryota; Metazoa; Arthropoda; Insecta; Lepidoptera; Bombycidae
Description: ovarian small RNA-37042
Source: RNAcentral
UUCAUACAAAUGGGUGACUCGGCUAGCC